AAGCUCCCACAUUGUGGGACGAAUCCUACACCGUUAGAUCGCGCCGACUUUGAUCUCAGCCGUCCUUUCUUAUUGUUGACGCGAUUAAUGUACACCGUUGAUCUGUCUCAAUAACUUUGAUCUGAGCCGUUCUUUUUCUUAGCCAAUAAGCAUUAACCUCCAAGAUUGCACUCUGUGCUUAUUCUCCACCAUUGAUGAAUUUAAUCCAACGGCUAAACGUUUCUCCUUCCUUUCUUUUUUUUGGUUAAAACUUAUUCUUUUUCCUCUUCUCUUCGUAUCCUUCUCUUACAUCCUUAUGGGAAAAUCAAAUACUAGUUUGCUUCCUGUUUCUUCACAUCUCCGAUUGGUGGAGGAUAUAGAAGGUGGUAGUGGCGGCUCUUAUAAAUGAUUUGAGGACAUCUCCGAGCUGUUAGAGGACGAAGGCUCAAGGCUCCGUGACGGAUAUCGAGCGGCAGAUCUCACAGUUGAGGGUGGUGUCUUAGAUCUGCCUUUGGCGGGAUUAACGAAAUCCGGACAAUCUUGCGAAUCAGAAACAGAAGCAAACAGAGGAGGAAUGAGAGCGACGAAGAAGGUGAGAGAGCGAUUUGGCCGCUUUUUCUAUCGGUUCCCGGAGGGAGAAUCCGCCGCCGACGUCUUCGAUCGAGUCUCAAGUAUGUUUCUUCAGGAGAGGGUGGAAACUGGAAUAUAGGAGGCCCUUCUACUGAUUCACUCGGUUUAUUGUCAUGGGGUGGAGGAAAACUAUACUGGAAGUGGAUCGAAGCUUUUUAUGGGCUGAAACAAGUGAUGAAGAUCCAUGGGCCAAUAAUUAGGAAAAGAAACAAUUUUUUUGUAUUUUCUUUAUUUUAUUUACAAAAAAGAAACAAAUUUUAUGUAUUUUCUUGUUUUAUUUUUUGUUAAAAAUUGAGUAUAAAAGUACGUAUAAAAAUACUCCUUCGUACAAUACAUCAUUUGUAUAAAAUGUAUAAUUUAAUAGUACAAAAUACUGUA
Arabidopsis lyrata subsp. lyrata is the source of this 987-nucleotide long non-coding RNA. RefSeq lists it as uncharacterized. The transcript is spliced from 3 exons. Lineage: Eukaryota; Viridiplantae; Streptophyta; Magnoliopsida; Brassicales; Brassicaceae. The record is from RefSeq and is a predicted model, not a curated record.